ACUCAAAUGAAUUGACGGGGGCCCGCACAAGCGGUGGAUCAUGUGGUUUAAUUCGAAGCAACGCGAAGAACCUUACCUGGGUUUGACAUCGCCGGACAAACGCAGAGAUGCGUCUUUUGUAGCAAUACAACCGGUAGACAGGUGCUGCAUGGCUGUCGUCAGCUCGUGUGGUGACAUGUUGGGUUAAGUCCCGCAACGAGCGCAACCCUUGUCUUUAGUUGCCAGCAUUCAGUUGGGCACUCUAAAGAGACUGCCGUGGUUAACACGGAGGAAGGUGGGGAUGACGUCAAGUCCUCAUGGCCUUUAUAUCCAGGGCGACACACGUGAUACAAUGGACGGUACAGAGGGAAGCGAAUGCGCGAGCAGGAGCCAAUCUCAAAAAGCCGUUCUCAGUUCGGAUUGGAGUCUGCAACUCGACUCCAUGAAGUUGGAAUCGCUAGUAAUCGUGGAUCAGCACGCCACGGUGAAUACGUUCCCGGGCCUUGUACACACCGCCCGU
RNAcentral lists this ribosomal RNA (499 nucleotides) under uncultured bacterium. RNAcentral's name for it is "partial 16S ribosomal RNA". It matches the Rfam family "Bacterial small subunit ribosomal RNA", at positions 899 to 1397 of the family's 1533-position model. The record is from RNAcentral.